This 515-nucleotide ribosomal RNA is filed under the name uncultured bacterium. RNAcentral describes it as "partial 16S ribosomal RNA". It matches the Rfam family "Bacterial small subunit ribosomal RNA", at positions 28 to 523 of the family's 1533-position model. The record is from RNAcentral.
GAUGAACGCUGGCGGCGUGCCUAAUACAUGCAAGUCGAGCGAAUGGAUUAAGAGCUUGCUCUUAUGAAGUUAGCGGCGGACGGGUGAGUAACACGUGGGUAACCUGCCCAUAAGACUGGGAUAACUCCGGGAAACCGGGGCUAAUACCGGAUAACAUUUUGAACCGCAUGGUUCGAAAUUGAAAGGCGGCUUCGGCUGUCACUUAUGGAUGGACCCGCGUCGCAUUAGCUAGUUGGUGAGGUAACGGCUCACCAAGGCAACGAUGCGUAGCCGACCUGAGAGGGUCAUGGGCCACACUGGGACUGAGACACGGCCCAGCUUCCUACGUGAGGCAGCAGUAGGGAAUCUUCCGGCAUGGACGAAAGUCUGACGGAGCAACGCCGCGUGAGUGAUGACGGCUUUCGGGUCGUAAAACUCUGUUGUUAGGGAAGAACAAGUGCUAGUUGAAUAAGCUGGCACCUUGACGGUACCUAACCAGAAAGCCACGGCUAACUACGUGCCAGCCGCCGCCGUAA